This 494-nucleotide ribosomal RNA is filed under the name uncultured bacterium. RNAcentral's name for it is "partial 16S ribosomal RNA". It matches the Rfam family "Bacterial small subunit ribosomal RNA", at positions 28 to 507 of the family's 1533-position model. The record is from RNAcentral.
GACGAACGCUGGCGGCGUGCUUAACACAUGCAAGUCGAACGGAAAGGCCUGCUUUCCCUUGUGGAUUGCGGAUACUCGAGUGGCGAACGGGUGAGUAACACGUGAGUGAUCUGCCCCCAACUUGGGUAUAAGCCUGGGAAACUGGGUCUAAUUCCCGAUAGGACUGCAGGGUGGUGCCUGUGGUGGAAAACGAUUUUCUAGUGGUUGGGGAUGAGCUCGCGGCCUAUCAGCUUGUUGGUGGGGUAAUGGCCUACCAAGGCGGCGACGGGUAGCCGGCCUGAGAGGGUGGACGGCCACAUUGGGACUGAGAUACGGCCCAGACUCCUACGGGAGGCAGCAGUGGGGAAUAUUGCACAAUGGGCGGAAGCCUGAUGCAGCGACGCCGCGUGGGGGAUGACGGCCUUCGGGUUGUAAACUCCUUUCGACCGCGAGGAAGCCACCUGGUUGGAAGGGUGGUGACGGUAGUGGUAGAAGAAGCACCGGCUAACUACGUG